AUACUUACCUGGCAGGGGAGAUACCAUUAUCAGGAAGGUGGUUUCCCCAGGGGGAAGCUCAUCUCAUUGUACUCCAGAUGUGCUGAGCCCUGCACAUGAUUUCCCGAUUUCCCCAAAUGCAGGAAGUUUGACUACAGAAUUUGUGGUAGAGGGGGACUGCAUUCAUGCUUUCUCCUG
Small nuclear RNA from Otolemur garnettii (small-eared galago), 177 nucleotides. Its record names the gene U1. It matches the Rfam family "U1 spliceosomal RNA". Rfam says of the family: U1 is a small nuclear RNA (snRNA) component of the spliceosome (involved in pre-mRNA splicing). The record is from Ensembl. Lineage: Eukaryota; Metazoa; Chordata; Mammalia; Primates; Galagidae.